CUAUAGAAUUUAGAAAAAUCGAAAAAGUAAGUAAACAUUCCCUUUUGUAAUGUUUUGAACCAAUUGAUUUGUCUACUGAAUUCGAAAAUAAAAAUAAAUAAAUAAAAAAAAAAGUCCUUUUUUUUUUUUAUUUGAAAACGGAAUCAAGACAAACUAGAAAGUUUCACCUUUCUUUUUAUUUUACUAUUUUUUUAUUCCCAGGAUGGGGAUUCUUAUUUUCCCCAUCACCCCACCAUAAACAAUAAGAAUUUUUUUUUUUUAUUUUCUAUAAUACGUGCAGCCCAAUACCUAAUUGAUUUGAUCAAUCCUAGGACAAAUUAAUAGUGAAAAAAAAAAAAGAAAAAACCUAAAAUUACGACAACACAAACACAAAAGUUCUAAAAAAUGAAAAAAAAAAAGAAAGAAACCCUUUUUGAGUUGUUCCCUGGAGUGAAGUUAGAACUAUUUAGUUACAACCAUUACAAGGUUCUAGUUUAUCAAAGAAGAAACUCUGAAAGUUAAGUUAAAUAAAACUGAAACCUUAAAUAAUUAAAUACAACAACAAAAGAAGGGGCGGAAUCUUUAAAUAGCCCUUUCAAUGUUUUUUGUUUUUAGUAAACAUUCAAAUUUCAAAUUGAUGAAUAAAAAUCCAUUAAAAU
This 638-nucleotide long non-coding RNA is filed under the name Citrus maxima (pomelo). RNAcentral's name for it is "long non-coding RNA (CMAX_LNC004357)". Lineage: Eukaryota; Viridiplantae; Streptophyta; Magnoliopsida; Sapindales; Rutaceae. The record is from RNAcentral.